UACGUAGGUGGCAAGCGUUGUCCGGAUUUACUGGGCGUAAAGAGCGCGCAGGCGGUCGUGCAAGUCGCGUGUGAAAGCCCCCGGCUCAACUGGGGAGGGUCACGCGAUACUGCUCGACUCGAAGGCAGGAGAGGGAAGUGGAAUUCCCGGUGUAGUGGUGAAAUGCGUAGAUAUCGGGAAGAACACCAAAGGCGAAAGCGCUCUGCUGGGCCGAAACUGACACUGAGAGACGAAAGCUAGGGGAGCGAAUGGG
This 253-nucleotide ribosomal RNA is filed under the name uncultured bacterium. Its description in RNAcentral is "partial 16S ribosomal RNA". It matches the Rfam family "Bacterial small subunit ribosomal RNA", at positions 524 to 776 of the family's 1533-position model. The record is from RNAcentral.